Molecule: long non-coding RNA, 2374 nt
Organism: Equus caballus (horse)
Lineage: Eukaryota; Metazoa; Chordata; Mammalia; Perissodactyla; Equidae
Source: Ensembl
GUGGGCUUUCCCAGGGGUGGUGCAUUACAUUGUGUCAUUCCUCGGCUUUGAACUCUGGAGAGCCCCUGUCCCUCUUAGGACACAGGCAAAGCUGCCCGAGCCUCGAGGGGCAGCCUGCGUGGCCCGGCCCCUGUGGUCCUCUUGCCCUUGGCUUCUUCCAUUUCCCCCACCUCUCCUCGCCAGCCACACGGGCCACAGGGUGUUUGCACAAGUGGCCGUUUCCUCUGCCCAGAGUGUUCUCUUCCUAUCUCCACUCGGGGACUCCUCCUCAUCUCUCAGUUGCUGACUCGGUCUCUUCCUCCAGGAUGCCAUCCCCAACCUCCCCUGACUACUUCAAACCAGUUCUUUUCCAGUCUCCAGGCUCUUUCUUUCUCAGCACUUGCCCUGGUUGUGAAUGCAUGCUCCUGUGGGCAAGUGUGUCACGACCGUCUCUCUUGCCGUUGGCUGGAUUCCCAGCAUCUGCUAUAGGGCCUGGCACACAGGAGGGGUACAACUCGCAUUUGUGGAACGAAAGAAUAAAAGGAUGUGGACGAGGGGGCAGGAACAGUGCAGCCCAGAGGGUCUUUGGGUUCCCGACAGUGUCACGCCCACUAGGAUAAUAUCCAGGCUGAGCCGCUCCCAGCUUCACGACCCCGGGCGAGCACGUGGUCUCUCUGAGCCUCAGUUUCUCUCAUUUGUGACAUAGGAGUGAUCACAAAAGCUCGUACCCUGUUGGGUUUGGGGGGGUGUGUGGUAAAAUAUACACAACAUAAAAUUGACCAUUUUAUCUGUUUUAAAGUGCACAGUUCACAAUGCAGCGGCACCGACAACGUUAGCGUUACACUCUCACUGCUGUGCAACCAUCAUCAUCCAGCGGUUGCAGAACCUACUGGGUUUUCAUGAGGAUUAUGUCAUGCGCCUAAAGCUUUCAGCACAGGCUGGGGGUUGAGAAGUGCCUGGGGAACGUUUUUCAUUAGUAGUAGUAUGAGUAUCGACAAUGGUACCAAGGAACGCUUAUGUCGCACUUGCUGUAUGACAGGCAGCACACGCUCUGGGCCCCUGACGAACAUUAACUCAUUCAAUCCUCACCCCAGCCCACUAAGGUGUAGCCUCUAUGGUCCCCAUUUUACAGAUGAGGAAGCUGAGGCAACAGAGAGGUUCAGUAACUCGCCUAAGGUCACACAGCAGAGCCAGGGAUGGAUUCUGGCUUGAGGAUCUAUACUCUUGACCUCUGCGCAAUGCCAAGCUCAGGGGAAGCCAGAGUGGGGCCGCACGACCGGCUGUGACCUUGAUGGGCUGAGCCGCCUGAGGAGAAGCCACAAAGCACCCACCUACUCCUGAUGUGGGCAGCCAGGAGCUGACUCCGACCAGGUGCUGAGUACCCUCUCUGCGUGUCUGCCCUCAGAGGGACGCCAGGCAGCGUGUCUGGAGAACAGACAAAGAGCCGCAUACCUGGUCCCCGCAGGCUGCCUUCUGCCGAGAUAGUCAUGACAUCCCGAACAACGAGGAGGAAACAAAAUAACCUGUUCAAGGUCACCUGCGAGGAAGCGGCAGGGCAGCGAUUUGAACUCAAGGCUGUCUGAGCGCUUAACCACCAUGCCAUCUGCCUUCACACACCAGACGCGCUGACCAGGGGGCAGGUUCCGUGGCCCGGUGUUAGCGGCAUCUCUGAUGCUGGCUCUCUGGGGUAGUUCCCUCCGGCACUGAGUCAGCGCUGCCAGGACUUACCAAUGGACGGUGACGGAUGAGAGGCUGGGUCAGCCCCAAGCAUCAAGAGGACGUGGCAUGUCCACUUUUGCACUUUUGGGAGCCCCAAGAUGCAGUGGAUAAAGCUUGGCAGUCCUGCUGGAGAGGCCACGUGGAGAAGAGAGACCCUGAGGCCGUGUGGAGUGGAGGGGGCCCCGUCUCCCCAGCAUCCCACUUUAGCCUCUAAAUGACCCCAACCUGUCAGACUGCACGAGAGACCCCACGCAAGAUCAGCUAGGGACCAGGCCAACGAGGAGGAGCCCGGUCCACCCACGGAACAGGGGGGACAACAAGCUGGCUGUUUCAAGCCACUGUCCAAUUGUAGCUAUCAUGAGUUGAGGCCCUACUGUGUGGGCCUCGUAUCCCUGUCCUGAGUAUCACCCCCAUCUUCAAGAUGAAGAAACUGAGGCCCUGAGAGGGAAGAAUGUCACAUAGUUGGAACCAUCCAGUAUGGAGCCUUUUCGCACUGCCUUCUUUCACUUCGUCACAUGCAUUUAAGGUUCCUCCUUCUUUCCACGGCUUGACAGCUCACUUCUCUUCAGCGCUGAGUAACAUUCCAUCAUCUGAAUGUGCCACAGUUUAUUUAGCCACUCACCUACUGAAGGACAUCUGAGUUGCUUCCAAGGUUUGGCAAUUAUGAAUAAAGCUG